CAGCAGCAGCCGCAGCCGCCGCAGCAGCGCGCGGCGCAGCCGUCGACGGGUCAGCGGUGUCGGGCGCCUUCGACCGGUACGGCCCCGGCGGGCUGCGCUCUCUGGACGAGACGCUGCAGGGCUCGGUGGACUGCCAGCGCGCCGGCCUCUUCCGGCACCCGCACCGCUGCGACAAGUUCUACGCGUGCCACUGGGACCAGUGGAAGGGCCGCUACACGCUGCACGUCUUCAACUGCCCCGUGCACCUCGCCUACGACCAGUCCAUCGGCGCGUGCAACUGGCCGUCCAAGGGGCCCGCCUGCGCCAACGACCGCCUGCUCGUCUAGGCGCGCGCUCCCUGCCCCCCUCCCUCCCACACUGCACAUUAAUUUAUUUCCCUAUUUAUUUAUUGUACUAUUUAUUAGCCACAUUGACACUCGAGUCAUUAAAACGUGCCUCUCCUAACACGUAUCACCGUCCGACAAGUGCUACACACAUUCAGAAUCGCACGGACUGCCGUUCAAUUUCAGUUAACCAGAAGCCAUUCUCUGCAACUAACAAACCAUCUGCGACACCAGUGACGGUUUCCUUUGUUCACAGGUGUAAUUAUUCGUCGAAAUCAUUUUUGUAUUAUCUGUCUGUAAAUACGUAUAGCUUCGUUGGUUUGGAUACAUACAAAACCAUAAAAUGUCUUAUAUGUAUAUUAAUGUGGAAUGCAUAUUAAUAAAUAUAUUUUGCUCAGUA
Schistocerca piceifrons (Central American locust) is the source of this 723-nucleotide long non-coding RNA. RefSeq lists it as uncharacterized. NCBI's taxonomy places the organism in Eukaryota, Metazoa, Arthropoda, Insecta, Orthoptera, Acrididae. The record is from RefSeq and is a predicted model, not a curated record. The transcript has 2 exons.